Molecule: transfer RNA, 51 nt
Filed under: Ceratitis contramedia
Lineage: Eukaryota; Metazoa; Arthropoda; Insecta; Diptera; Tephritidae
Description: partial tRNA-Thr
Source: RNAcentral
ANCAAAAAUAAGAUUUAUACUUUUAAAAUUUCAAGAAAAAAGAAACUAUCU